RNAcentral lists this non-coding RNA (18 nucleotides) under Manduca sexta (tobacco hornworm). Lineage: Eukaryota; Metazoa; Arthropoda; Insecta; Lepidoptera; Sphingidae. The record is from miRBase by way of RNAcentral. RNAcentral also lists the same sequence under 4 other names.
AUCCGGCUCGAAGGACCA